AUAAUUUGAAGUGUGUUAUGAGAUGUACUUUAGCAUGUUACAUAAGAAUUGAAUUGAUUAUGUUUUUUUCUUUCCUUUUUUUUGAGACAGAGUCUUGCUCUGUCUCCCAGGCUGGAGUACAGUGGUGCAAUCUCUGCUCACUGCAACCUCUGUCUCCCAGGUUCAAGAGAUUCUUCUGCCUCAGCCUCCAAGUAGCUGGGAUUACAGAUACACACUACACCCGGCUAAUUUUUUGUAUUUUUAAUAGAGAUGGGGUUUCACCAUGUUGGGCAGACUGGUCUCAAACUCCUGACCUCAAGUGAUCCACCCACCUCGGCCUCCCAAAGUGCUGGGAUUACAGUGGUGAGCCACUGCACCCGGUCCAAUUAUACCUUUUUUGAAAACAAUUAUCAAAACCAAAACUACUACUGUUGUAUUACCUAUUGAGGGGAAUUGCUAUAAAGUCAUUUGGAUGUUUUUUUUACAGUCAUAUCAGAAUUCAUGGAAUAAUCUUCAGAGAAGCAAUAGAUAACACCAAAGGCAGUCCUAAAAAAGCAAAGGCACAGGAAUGUUGCCUUGAAUGAGGCAGGAGUCUAAAGAGGAAACAAGGAACAGCCCCAUCCAAUAUUCAAUGGACCUAUUUAUUCUCCAUCUGCAACAUUCAGAUAACAUGCUCAUCAACAUGACUGCAGCUCACAAUUUUCUGAAUUUUACAGCCACUUCUCUCAGCCUCACUGUGAGUCUAGUGAACUAUGUACCAACGUAUGCAAUAAAUGCUCAAAAAUAUUUGCUAGAUAUCCCUGUUUUGUGCUGGUCAAUUAGAAGAAGAACAAAAUCAGAAGCUGCUAGCCACUCUGCUUUUUUAGGGAAGUAAAAAUCUCUCCAUAAAAAUUACUGAAAUGCCAUAGACAGAACUGUAUGUGGGUAUUAAUAAAGUCUCUGAAACAUUAGAGACGUCUCCUAGGCUGACGUCCAAACUUACUAGGAAGACUGUCC
RNAcentral lists this long non-coding RNA (975 nucleotides) under Callithrix jacchus (white-tufted-ear marmoset). RNAcentral describes it as "lncRNA (ENSCJAG00000084873.1)". Lineage: Eukaryota; Metazoa; Chordata; Mammalia; Primates; Cebidae. The record is from RNAcentral.